GUAGGUGAACCUGCGGAAGGAUCAUUAACGAGAGAGGGGCUCACACGCCCCGGGGGCUUCGGCCCCGCCUCUUCACCCCGUGCGUACCUACCUUUGUUGCUUUGGCGGGCCUCGGGUCCUCCCGACGCCGGCCUGGGGGCAACCCCGGGCUCCCGCGCGCCCGCCGGAGGCCAUCUUAAAAUUCUGUUAUCAGUGCAGUCCGAGUACCAAUUCAAUAACUAAAACUUUCAACAACGGAUCUCUUGGUUCUG
Molecule: unclassified non-coding RNA, 251 nt
Filed under: rhizosphere metagenome
Description: partial ribosomal RNA internal transcribed spacer region
Source: RNAcentral